Molecule: ribosomal RNA, 696 nt
Filed under: uncultured bacterium
Lineage: Bacteria
Description: bacterial SSU rRNA
Rfam family: Bacterial small subunit ribosomal RNA
Source: RNAcentral
AACGCUAGCUACAGGCUUAACACAUGCAAGUCGAGGGGAAACGAUAGAGAAAGCUUGCUUUUUCUAGGCGUCGACCGGCGCACGGGUGAGUAACGCGUAUCCAACCUGCCCAUCACUUGGGGAUAACCUUGCGAAAGUAAGACUAAUACCCAAUGAUAUCUCUAGAAGACAUCUGAAGGAGAUUAAAGAUUUAUCGGUGAUGGAUGGGGAUGCGUCUGAUUAGCUUGUUGGCGGGGUAACGGCCCACCAAGGCAACGAUCAGUAGGGGUUCUGAGAGGAAGGUCCCCCACAUUGGAACUGAGACACGGUCCAAACUCCUACGGGAGGCAGCAGUGAGGAAUAUUGGUCAAUGGACGAGAGUCUGAACCAGCCAAGUAGCGUGCAGGAUGACGGCCCUAUGGGUUGUAAACUGCUUCUAUAAGGGAAUAAAGUGAGUCUCGUGAGACUUUUUGCAUGUACCUUAUGAAUAAGGACCGGCUAAUUCCGUGCCAGCAGCCGCGGUAAUACGGAAGGUCCGGGCGUUAUCCGGAUUUAUUGGGUUUAAAGGGAGCGUAGGCCGGAGAUUAAGCGUGUUGUGAAAUGUAGACGCUCAACGUCUGCACUGCAGCGCGAACUGGUUUCCUUGAGUACGCACAAAGUGGGCGGAAUUCGUGGUGUAGCGGUGAAAUGCUUAGAUAUCACGAAGAACUCCGAUUG